AAGGGUGCGUAGGCGGCCUGUUAAGUCAGGGGUGAAAGACGGUAGCUCAACUAUCGCAGUGCCCUUGAUACUGAUGGGCUUGAAUUGACUAGAGGUAGGCGGAAUGUGACAAGUAGCGGUGAAAUGCAUAGAUAUGUCACAGAACACCGAUUGCGAAGGCAGCUUACUAUGGUCUUAUUGACGCUGAGGCACGAAAGCGUGGGGAUCAAACAGGAUUAGAUACCCCGGGU
RNAcentral lists this ribosomal RNA (230 nucleotides) under uncultured bacterium. Its description in RNAcentral is "partial 16S ribosomal RNA". It matches the Rfam family "Bacterial small subunit ribosomal RNA", at positions 563 to 792 of the family's 1533-position model. The record is from RNAcentral.